Molecule: ribosomal RNA, 533 nt
Filed under: uncultured bacterium
Lineage: Bacteria
Description: bacterial SSU rRNA
Rfam family: Bacterial small subunit ribosomal RNA
Source: RNAcentral
GCAAGUCGAACGGAGAUUUCAGCAAUGGAAUCUUAGUGGCGAACGGGUGAGCAACGCGUAGACAACCUACCUUCUAGAUGGGGACAACACUGCGAAAGUGGUGCUAAUACCGAAUGUUGUAUGUGAAACGCCUGUUUCAUAUACUAAAGGUGGCCUCUAUUUAUAAGCUACCACUAGAAGAUGGGUCUGCGUCUGAUUAGCUAGUUGGUGAGAUAACGGCUCACCAAGGCGACGAUCAGUAGCCGGUCUGAGAGGAUGAACGGCCACACUGGGACUGAGACACGGCCCAGACUCCUACGGGAGGCAGCAGUGGGGAAUCUUCCCGCAUGGACGAAAGUCUGACGGAGCACGCCGCGUGAGUGAAGAAGGUUUUCGGAUCGUAAAACUCUGUUUUCAGGGACGAAUGUGCAUAUGUGGAAUAUGUGUUGUAAUGACGGGUACCCUGACAGGAAAGCCACGGCUAACUACGUGCCAGCAGCCCGCGGUAAUACGUAAGUGGCAGGCGUUGUCGGGAAUUAUGGGGCGUAAAGCGC